Molecule: ribosomal RNA, 253 nt
Filed under: uncultured bacterium
Lineage: Bacteria
Description: partial 16S ribosomal RNA
Rfam family: Bacterial small subunit ribosomal RNA
Source: RNAcentral
UACGAAGGGGGCUAGCGUUGCUCGGAAUUACUGGGCGUAAAGCGCACGUAGGCGGAUUGUUAAGUCGGGGGUGAAAUCCUGGAGCUCAACUCCAGAACUGCCUUCGAUACUGGCGAUCUCGAGUCCGGGAGAGGUGAGUGGAACUGCGAGUGUAGAGGUGAAAUUCGUAGAUAUUCGCAAGAACACCAGUGGCGAAGGCGGCUUCCUGGCCUGCAACUGACGCUGAGACGCGAAAGCGUGGGGAGCGAACCGG